RNAcentral lists this ribosomal RNA (254 nucleotides) under uncultured bacterium. RNAcentral's name for it is "partial 16S ribosomal RNA". It matches the Rfam family "Bacterial small subunit ribosomal RNA", at positions 524 to 776 of the family's 1533-position model. The record is from RNAcentral. RNAcentral also lists the same sequence under 1 other name.
CACGUAGGGUGCAAGCGUUGUCCGGAUUUAUUGGGCGUAAAGGGCUCGUAGGCGGUUCGACAAGUCGGGUGUGAAACCUCCAGGCUCAACCUGGAGUCGCCACUCGAAACUGUUGUGACUAGAGUCCGGUAGGGGAGCAUGGAAUUCCUGGUGUAGCGGUGGAAUGCGCAGAUAUCAGGAGGAACACCAGUGGCGAAGGCGAUGCUCUGGGCCGGUACUGACGCUGAGGAGCGAAAGCAUGGGGAGCGAACAGG